RNAcentral lists this ribosomal RNA (253 nucleotides) under uncultured bacterium. Its description in RNAcentral is "partial 16S ribosomal RNA". It matches the Rfam family "Bacterial small subunit ribosomal RNA", at positions 524 to 776 of the family's 1533-position model. The record is from RNAcentral.
UACGGAGGGGGCAAGCGUUGUCCGGAAUCACUGGGCGUAAAGGGCGCGUAGGCGGCUCAUGAAGGCUGUGGUGAAAGCCCCGGGCUUAACCUGGGAAUGGCCGUUGAAACUGGCGAACUGGAGUGUGGCAGAGGGGGGUGGAAUUCCGCGUGUAGCAGUGAAAUGCGUAGAGAUGCGGAGGAACACCGAUGGCGAAGGCAGCCCCCUGGGCUAACACUGACGCUCAGGCACGAAAGCGUGGGGAGCAAACAGG